Schistosoma mattheei is the source of this 45-nucleotide non-coding RNA. NCBI's taxonomy places the organism in Eukaryota, Metazoa, Platyhelminthes, Trematoda, Strigeidida, Schistosomatidae. The record is from Rfam.
AUCCAUCUGACGAGUCCUAAAUAGGACGAAAUAUGCGUGCUGUAU